RNAcentral lists this small nucleolar RNA (128 nucleotides) under Erinaceus europaeus (western European hedgehog). RNAcentral's name for it is "Small nucleolar RNA SNORA73 family (ENSEEUG00000023781.1)". The record is from RNAcentral. Lineage: Eukaryota; Metazoa; Chordata; Mammalia; Eulipotyphla; Erinaceidae.
AUGACGUACAGCCCUUUCCACAGCGUCGAAGAUGAAGCCAGGCCUCUGAGCCUAUGCCUCCAUAUUCCUACAGUUUCUCAGGGUCCCAGGGAUAAUGGCUGAGGAGAUAAAUAUUCUUUGCUUUAUGU